This 465-nucleotide ribosomal RNA is filed under the name Vreelandella stevensii. Its description in RNAcentral is "partial 16S ribosomal RNA". It matches the Rfam family "Bacterial small subunit ribosomal RNA", at positions 338 to 795 of the family's 1533-position model. The record is from RNAcentral. Lineage: Bacteria; Pseudomonadati; Pseudomonadota; Gammaproteobacteria; Oceanospirillales; Halomonadaceae.
CCUACGGGUGGCAGCAGUGGGGAAUAUUGGACAAUGGGGGGAACCCUGAUCCAGCCAUGCCGCGUGUGUGAAGAAGGCCCUCGGGUUGUAAAGCACUUUCAGUGAGGAAGAACGCCUGGUGGUUAAUACCCAUCAGGAAAGACAUCACUCACAGAAGAAGCACCGGCUAACUCCGUGCCAGCAGCCGCGGUAAUACGGAGGGUGCGAGCGUUAAUCGGAAUUACUGGGCGUAAAGCGCGCGUAGGUGGCUUGAUAAGCCGGUUGUGAAAGCCCCGGGCUCAACCUGGGAACGGCAUCCGGAACUGUCAAGCUAGAGUGCAGGAGAGGAAGGUAGAAUUCCCGGUGUAGCGGUGAAAUGCGUAGAGAUCGGGAGGAAUACCAGUGGCGAAGGCGGCCUUCUGGACUGACACUGACACUGAGGUGCGAAAGCGUGGGUAGCACACAGGAUUAGAUACCCGAGUAGUA